CAGUCGCCACGGUAACACGGAGGGUGCAAGCGUUAAUCGGAAUUACUGGGCGUAAAGCGCACGCAGGCGGUUUGUUAAGUCUGCUGUGAAAUCCCCGGGCUCAACCUGGGAAUGGCAGUGGAUACUGGCUCGCUAGAGUGUGUCAGAGGAUGGUGGAAUUCCCGGUGUAGCGGUGAAAUGCGUAGAGAUCUGGAGGAAUACCGGUGGCGAAGGCGGCCCCCUGGACGAAGACUGACGCUCAGGUACGAAAGCGUGGGGAGCAAACAGGAUUAGAUACCCCUGUAGUCCCUGUCUCUUAUAC
Molecule: ribosomal RNA, 301 nt
Filed under: uncultured bacterium
Lineage: Bacteria
Description: partial 16S ribosomal RNA
Rfam family: Bacterial small subunit ribosomal RNA
Source: RNAcentral